GAUGAACGCUAGCGGCAGGCCUAACACAUGCAAGUCGAGGGGCAGCACAAAGAUAGUUUACUAUUUGGUGGCGACCGGCGCACGGGUGCGUAACGCGUAUGCAACCUACCUUGUACAGAGGGAUAGCCCGAAGAAAUUCGGAUUAAUACCUCAUAGCACUAUGAUUUCUCAUGAAAUUUUAGUUAAAACUUCGGUGGUACAAGAUGGGCAUGCGUCCUAUUAGCUAGAUGGUAAGGUAACGGCUUACCAUGGCAACGAUAGGUAGGGGGCCUGAGAGGGUGACCCCCCACACUGGUACUGAGACACGGACCAGACUCCUACGGGAGGCAGCAGUGAGGAAUAUUGGUCAAUGGACGAAAGUCUGAACCAGCCAUGCCGCGUGAAGGAUGAAGGUUCUAUGGAUUGUAAAACUUCUUUUUAUUUGGGAAAUAAACCCCCCCGACGUGUCGGGGGCGUNAAAGGUACUGAAUGAAUAAGCACCGGC
This 484-nucleotide ribosomal RNA is filed under the name uncultured bacterium. Its description in RNAcentral is "bacterial SSU rRNA". It matches the Rfam family "Bacterial small subunit ribosomal RNA", at positions 28 to 497 of the family's 1533-position model. The record is from RNAcentral.